Long non-coding RNA from Tyto alba (common barn owl), 2452 nucleotides. RefSeq lists it as uncharacterized. The record is from RefSeq and is a predicted model, not a curated record. Lineage: Eukaryota; Metazoa; Chordata; Aves; Strigiformes; Tytonidae. The transcript is spliced from 2 exons.
AGCUUGAAACGGCUUUACAGACAGUGCAUAAUUGGAAACCACUUAAUUAGCAUGCUUCUUCCUGUUUCCUCAUUCCUCAUCUUGUGAUGUGAGAAAUGAAACGGAGCUUGUAGAUCUCCCUGCUGGCAGCGGGUUAGCUCACAGCCAGACGCAACCAGUGACUCAGUAUGAUACACUGCUCAGGGUUUCCACCAACUGUCCCAUAGUUACUGGGUAUCAAGAAACACCAUUUUAGAAGAAAAUUCUUGGAGGAGUAAUGACCCAUCUGACAAGCAAGCGAGUUUAUGGAGUUCAUGAGCUGAUUCAUGUCUUGGGAAACAAGGCUGGCAUCUGAACACAGGACCUGAUUUUUGAGAGAUGGAGAACUCCCACUGGCCUCCAGGCCGAGAGCUGGUCGCAGUGCUCUGCAGCAAUGCAGCACUGCUUUGGAGUGAGAGCAGCACGUACGGGACCUUCGGCGACAGAUUUCAAUCGAGGGCACUGAAGACAAAGCGCUGGAGGCGUAUCGGUUCUUGGUCAAACAGACUACUCUCUUCUGUAGCGCUCCACCCUAAAUUAGUAUCAAAUCUUCCCAUAAAUUAAAAGCUUAAGGAAUGCUACCCUCUUUAAAAUGUAAUUUUGAUUUUUUUGGUGGUUUAAUUCAAUCCAGAGCCAAGGGAGGCCUUGCUUAUGUCACUGACAGCAAACUGCUACGUGAACAGUACUACGUGCUCUAACAGCUGUUGCAAAAAUCAAAAAUGAAAGUCUGCCCUCUUCCUUAGCAGUCUGCCACCGAUGGACAGACACAAAAAGAAACGAGGAGAAAGGGCUCAAGUUUUAUAUGUGGAAAACUUCAAAUCCCAAGUGAAAACCACUGGCCAGCAGCUGCACGACAGAGGCGCUGGACCUCAUCGGACGCGGAGCAGUUACCGCUGUGCCAACAGCCAGGGUGCCGUACCCGAGGAAGGCCAGGCUCCACCACAGACACCCUGGAUCCUACACAAAUAGGAACUCUGGAUCCAUGUAAAGAGAAAGGAGCCAGCCCAAGGCUCAGGACAGGCUUCUAAAGCUCAGUAAAACGUGGGGGAUAAAUAUAUACUUGGCUGAUACUUCAUCACCACAAAGCUUCUCUGCUGGAACAAAAAAUAUGCAGAGCUCUGAAUUCAAAAUGUCUGAGACCAAAAAGAGACUUCAGUGUCGAAUGCUGCCGCACCCCUCAGCAUCACUGACAGCCCCGCAGCGGGACGGACACAACGCACACCACCCCCCUAUCCCCAGCGUCACAGGGACUCCAGUCCUUCCAGCAGAACCACUGCAUCGUUUUUCACUUCAUUUUUUUUUUUUUUUUUUCCCAUCUCCUUCACAUGAAGUUGCAGGAUGUCCACACUCUGCUGUUACAGACUUGACAAGGCAGUAGCCUGGAAUUACUCAUUUUCGCAGUUCUUUCACUAAAGAUGUCUCGCCCUGAUUUUGAGGGAGCACUAACGAUUCUAUCAGCAAUACAGAGCCUUGCUGGGCAGGCAGCUGUGCAAAAGUGCCUCCGAAAAAUAGCUGCGAGUGAAGAAGGGAUGGACCAUCCUUCCGCUUUUUCAAAAAGGGAAGUCAAGAGCCAGCUGAAGACCCGGGGAAAGCUGCAUGAACUCAUUUCCCCGUUCUGAACAUUUCUAGCAGCAAUCGCGAAACCGGCCGCUGCCCUGAUAACAACCUAUUUAUGGAGGUACAUUAACUGAGCAUGUCUAUUAAAGUAAUCACCAGUGAACUCUGUCCGUGGUUACAAUCUGGGACAGUGCCCAUACAGCUGAGAGCAGGUACGUUACAUCAACAGGCUCGUUCCCCUGGGACUGAGAAAGGGGCUGUUUGCUGAGGCAGGAAGGCAGCGCUGCCUCGGUCACCACCGGUUCCCAUAUGGAGAGCUGGAAGGUACAACCAGGACCGGUGUUUUCAAAAUCAUCACGGAGCUAACCCUGCUCCUGCUGACAUGGAUGGCACACCGCCUGAAUGCUUAAGUGGCAGCACCUAGAUCUGCACGGAGCAAUCGUGAAAACGCAAGCACGUGUCCUACAGCUCUCCCUCGCCUCCAGAAUGACAGAGCAUGUGCUGCUCUGAAUUCAUCUGCUGAAUUUCAGGUUGCUCCCAGGCAACAGACACUGUACCCAGUUGAAUUUAAGACUUCAAAAUUUUCCUUGAAGACACAACAACCUCACCCACCCGGAGCUGGAAUCCUGUCUGAAAGGCAUGACUGGAACUUACUUCCUUCACUGAAAUGAGUAACUAUGCUAGAGCAUGUUCUACUCGCCUACAGAAUUACUGCUAGGACUUCAUUUGCUGUAAAAUAGGUAAAUGUACACUGCAUGGACAGCCAUGAAAAGCAUCAGAAAGGUCUUUAUUUCUUAAUCAGGGAAUAAGGUUCACCAUUUGUGCAUAAUGCAGUCAUCCCAAAUUCAUGCCAAUAAAAGAGAAACCUUUACAAUAA